GCACCCUUAGCUCAGUUGGAUUAGAGCAUUUGACUACGAAUCAGAAGGUCGGGCGUUCAAGUCGCUCAGGGUGCA
This 75-nucleotide transfer RNA is filed under the name Wolbachia endosymbiont of Meromenopon meropis. RNAcentral describes it as "tRNA-Arg". It matches the Rfam family "tRNA". Rfam says of the family: Transfer RNA (tRNA) molecules are approximately 80 nucleotides in length. Their secondary structure includes four short double-helical elements and three loops (D, anti-codon, and T loops). Lineage: Bacteria; Pseudomonadati; Pseudomonadota; Alphaproteobacteria; Rickettsiales; Anaplasmataceae. The record is from RNAcentral.